RNAcentral lists this ribosomal RNA (541 nucleotides) under uncultured bacterium. Its description in RNAcentral is "bacterial SSU rRNA". It matches the Rfam family "Bacterial small subunit ribosomal RNA", at positions 777 to 1322 of the family's 1533-position model. The record is from RNAcentral.
AAUAGAUACCCCGGUAGUCCACGCCCUAAACGAUGUGUGCUAGAUGUCGGGGGACUUGUCUCUCGGUGUCGGAGUUAACGUUUUAAGCACACCGCCUGGGGAGUACGGCCGCAAGGUUAAAACUCAAAGGAAUUGACGGGGACCCGCACAAGCGGUGGAUGAUGUGGAUUAAUUCGAUGCAACGCGAAAAACCUUACCUACCCUUGACAUGCCACUAACGAAGCAGAGAUGCAUCAGGUGCCCGAAAGGGAAAGUGGACACAGGUGCUGCAUGGCUGUCGUCAGCUCGUGUCGUGAGAUGUUGGGUUAAGUCCCGCAACGAGCGCAACCCUUAUCUUUAGUUGCUACGCAAGGGCACUCUAGAGAGACUGCCGGUGACAAACCGGAGGAAGGUGGGGAUGACGUCAAGUCCUCAUGGCCCUUAUGGGUAGGGCUUCACACGUCAUACAAUGGUGCGUACAGAGGGUUGCCAACCCGCGAGGGGGAGCUAAUCCCAGAAAACGCAUCGUAGUCCGGAUCGUAGUCUGCAACUCGACUACGUG